This 484-nucleotide ribosomal RNA is filed under the name uncultured bacterium. Its description in RNAcentral is "partial 16S ribosomal RNA". It matches the Rfam family "Bacterial small subunit ribosomal RNA", at positions 29 to 507 of the family's 1533-position model. The record is from RNAcentral.
AUUGAACGCUGGCGGCAUGCUUUACACAUGCAAGUCGAACGGCAGCGCGGGCUUCGGCCUGGCGGCGAGUGGCGAACGGGUGAGUAAUACAUCGGAACGUGCCCAGUAGUGGGGGAUAGCUCGGCGAAAGCCGGAUUAAUACCGCAUACGACCUGAGGGUGAAAGCGGGGGAUCUUCGGACCUCGCGCUAUUGGAGCGGCCGAUGGCAGAUUAGCUAGUUGGUGGGGUAAAGGCCUACCUAGGCGACGAUCUGUAGCUGGUCUGAGAGGACGACCAGCCACACUGGGACUGAGACACGGCCCAGACUCCUACGGGAGGCAGCAGUGGGGAAUUUUGGACAAUGGGCGAAAGCCUGAUCCAGCAAUGCCGCGUGUGUGAUGAAGGCCUUCGGGUUGUAAAGCACUUUUGGCGGGAACGAAAAGGACUGUGCCAAUACCACGGUUCGAUGACGGUACCCGCAGAAUAAGCACCGGCUAACUACGUG